RNAcentral lists this long non-coding RNA (4042 nucleotides) under Sus scrofa (pig). RNAcentral describes it as "lncRNA (ENSSSCG00045036747.1)". Lineage: Eukaryota; Metazoa; Chordata; Mammalia; Artiodactyla; Suidae. The record is from RNAcentral.
UAGCCUGGGAACCUCCAUAUGCUGAGGGAGCGGACCUAGAAAAGGCAAAAAAACAAAAACAAAAACAAAAACAAACAAAAAAAAAAUCUGGCACAUAGCAAGUACUCAAUAGUCUUUUCCAACGCAUGCAGUUCUGGGGCCAGAGAUCAAACUUGAACCACUGCCGUGACACUGCUAGAUCCUUAACCUGCUGUGCCACUGGGAAGCUGAAUAGUUUUGAAUAAAUGAUCACUCCACAUCACCUAAACCACAUCUAAUACUGUCCUAAAAAUUAGAAAACUGAAGACAGAAGUUAGGUAAGUUCACCUCAAUGUUUUUUGUUUUUUUUUAAUCACAUCUGUAGUUGUAUAACGAUCAUUGAAAUCCAAUUUCACAGGAUUUCCAUCCCACAACCCAUGCACAUUCCCCCACCCCCAACUGUCUCCUCUGGAGACCAUAAGUUUUUCAAUGUCUGUGAGUCAGCAUCUGCUCUGCAAAGUUCACUGUGUCCACACCCCCCAAACUCCAUGUCAGUGAAAGCAUCCGAUGUUGGCGUCUCAUCGACAUGGAGUGGAGCAGGAAGAUGUGGUACAUAUUACACAAUGGAAUGUUAUUCAGCAAUUAAAAGGAACAAAAUCACCUCAAUGUUAUUUUGGCCUUGUCUGCAGCACAUUUAAGUCCCCAGGGCAGGGAGCAAACCUGCACCACAUCAGCAACCUGAACCACAGCAGUGCCAGAUCCUUAACCUGCUGAGUUGCUAGGGAACUCCACAGACAUGUUUUAAUAGGGUACUUGUAGUCAGAAAUAAAGUGCCAAGUACAUACAUAAUUUCUACUUACUGAACAAGUAAUUGAAUAUAGAUUCCAGCCCAUUUUUUUCAUCUACUCUUCAGUCUCUUCUGACAAGCUAGUUAGUGCAUAUGAAAGCAACACUCUAUAUCUGAUAGUUACUGAAGGAACACACUAAAUGUGUAAACUUAAAAAGUAGUGUGAUAGUAGCUUUUUCCUUGUAUGGAGAGGUAGCCGAAGAAAAAUAAAAAAUUUAGGAAUUCAGUUUGAAGGAAAAUGUGUUCCAGGACCCUUAAUAAAUUCUAGUUACCACGGGGAAUUGACUUGAAAUCCAAUAACCUCACAGGUGAACAUGGAUCAAUAGGUGGAAGAGUCCAGAGGCUUCUAACUGGUUUAAACACUCCUCACGCAUCAAGCCUAGAAAAUAUAUCAAGUCUAGAGAAUAUAUUAGGGAGGUGCUGAGACAGCAAUUAUCUCCCCCCUACCCAAUACUCCAUUAAAACAAGCUGGGGGUGGGAGGGAGGCAAAGGCUCAAAGGUCUACAGUCUUCUUUGUGACCAACUACUAGAACCUCAGUCCACACUUAAGCAAAGCAAGCUGUUGAUCUUGUGGUCCAAAUAUACUGAGACCUCAAACUAAACUGCAGGCCAUGUCUGACUACAUAUAUGGUUUUCUUUUCUGUGAUAAGUGAUGGAUUCCUACCUAGGCGGACACUGGAUAUCCUGGUUGCCUACCAGAUCUGACUUACACCUGGUGGUAGACUGGGGCUAUUUGAGCCUGAAGCACAUGGAAAGCCCUCUUUGGCUGGGAUCACUGCUGAGACAUGGGUUUAAGCCCUGGCCUGCAGUGGGUUAAAGAUCUAGUGUUGCCAGAGCUAUCGCCAAAAGAGAAAAAAAAAAAACUCAUGAAUCAAAUUUUAAAUUCAUGGGAGAACACGUGAAUUUACAUCUCAGUUAAGGCCUAUCCCGAAAAAAGGAUAAGCUGUGUCUAUAAAUAUCUCAAGGGAACUCUCACAGUAAUUACACAGUCCUGGACUUACCUGAAUCUGGUUUUACUGAGCAAGGUAGGAUUUGGAACCAUUAGGUUUGGUAGCAUUUUCACCUUGCAUCUGAUUUUCUACUAUCCAGUGUUUUAUUCCUGGUGUAAAGGGAUCAUUACAGAGGAAUGAAAGAGCUGACAUUGUAGGUCUCUCCAAAGGAUAGACUGUCCUGCCUACAUUCAGUGUUUUAACAAAUUCAGGACUUGCCACAGCUGUUCCAGCACAUGUUGGUACACAGACCGAAGGCAAGUCGAGGUCAACAGUUUCCAACUGGGAUUUCAUAAAGGGUUCCCCAAUUAAAAGGACUACCCCAUGAGCUGAAAUACUCCACCCCUUCUUUGCUAUCAUAUUCCUUUGAAUAUAGACACAUGCGAAAACAUGUUCCCCGGCAAAUGUGUAUUUCAAUCCAUUCCCCCAAAAAUUUUUCAUACAUACAGUUGCUCCUCAAACAAGGCAUGGGUUAGGGGGCACUACCUAGUCAAAAAUUCCUAUGGGAGUUCCCGUCUUGGCUCAGGAUCCACAAAGAUGUGGGUUUGAUCCCUGGCCUCAAUCAGUGGGUCAGGGAUCCAGCACUGCUGUGAGCUGUGGUGUAGGUCAGAUUUGGCCUGGAUCCUGUGUUUCUGUGGCUGUGAUGCAGGCCGGCAGCUGCAGCUCUGAUGUGACCCCUAGCCUGGGAACUUCCAUGUGCCAUGGGUUUGGCCCUUAACCAAAAAAAUCCUUAUGUAACUAACUUUAGAGCUGGCCGUUUACAUCCCUGCUUUCACAUCUGACAGUUCAACUAACUGUUGAAAACCAUAACAACGCCACUGUUAAACCCACACUGUUCAAGGAUCAACUGCAUAUCCUUAGCUGGCGACUUUCUAAUUUCUGAAUUCUGGGACAAAUGAACCAUUGCUGUAAAGGUCACAUUAGGUACAACCCUUCCUCACAUUGUGGGGGAAAUAUCUUCUUGUGGGACCCCCCCCAAGUUUCUAGAAUACCUGGUGUCCUGGGCUUUUUUACUUGAUAGAGAAAAUCACUGCAGAAAGAUGAAGGUUGGGUGAGAACUGGCUAACCAGCAAACCAAUUCAAGGCAAAGAGGUGAAUUAACGAAGUUAAGGAUCUGGAAUCAGAUCCCAUGAAGCUAUUCAGGCCAUAAACUUCCAUUAAAGCCUUGUGUCCCCCACUAAAGAUACUCACACCCAGAUCAGUCUAAAUUGCUUCCUGAUGAGUUCCUCACAAAACUCCUUAUCCUGUUCUUAGAACACCAGUUUACGCCAACAUGCCAGGUUGAAUUAACCUAAUACAGAUGCUUUAACUCCUCUCCCCCAUAGCUAUGCAAAUUGGGGAGGUCAAAGACAGAAAUGUAAGAGAAACACAGGAGUUGAGGUUUAACUUACAUAACCACCCUGGCCUCCAUGAAAAAGACUAUGUGACACUCCAGAGUUCAAUAUGUGGUGAAGUUACAGUUCCUGUAACAUACACAACCCCCAUUAUAUCUGGCAACACACACUCAACAUGCCAUAUUAAGUAUAGUCUCCAUUUUAUUGUCUUUUUAAAGGAUAGAAUUCCUUCAGUCUCUAAGAACUCAGUUCCUUACAUGGGCUUUGGUGGAGGUCGUGGGGCAGCACCCUGAAAGACAAAAAAAAUGGAACAGUAAAUUAAAGAGUCUCCCUUAAAGAACUUGACCACUGCCCUCCUACCACUAACAAUGUAUCUGGGCCAUAAAUGCAUGGAAAACCAACACACAUCAAAGAUUACGCUACUCAAUCUGAACCAGAUUCUAACCACUUUUGAUAUUCCUUGAGUCCUCGUAUGUGUCUUUCCCCCAUCACCCCUCUGGCUCCCACACCUUUUACAUACUCACCGCAGGUCUAAAUCGGGGUGGAGGUGUUCUAUCCUUCCGGGCUUCACGAGAACGAUUCCUGACUACCUUGCUGUGAAUGGCACAACUCACGCAAUAAUGUAGUUUCACAUACAGCUUGGGAAGCACAUAGGCUAAGAAACAGAAAAUUUAGAGGUAUGAUAUCAUGUAUUGCACACCCACCUCACGCAGUUCUUUCUUGUUCAUUCUAUCAGGCAAAAGUAAACAUACCCAGGAGUUCCCUGGUGGCCCCGCAGGUUAGAGACCUGGAAUUGUCACUGCUAUGGUGCAGGUUCAACCCCUGGCCUGGGAAGUUCUCAAGUUCGGUCAUUUUUGGGGGGGGGGGGGGGGAGUAAACAGGAGUUCCCGUCGUGGCUCAGUGAUUAACGAAUC